UACAGAGGGUGCGAGCGUUGUCCGGAAUCACUGGGCGUAAAGGGCGCGUAGGCGGCCUGGUAAGUAGGGGGUGAAAUCUUGCGGCUCAACUGCAAGGCUGCCUCCUAAACUGCCGGGCUGGAGCACGGUAGAGGCAGAUGGAAUUCCCGGUGUAGCGGUGGAAUGCGUAGAGAUCGGGAAGAACAUCGGUGGCGAAGGCGGUCUGCUGGGCCGUUGCUGACGCUGAGGCGCGACAGCGUGGGGAGCAAACAGG
RNAcentral lists this ribosomal RNA (253 nucleotides) under uncultured bacterium. Its description in RNAcentral is "partial 16S ribosomal RNA". It matches the Rfam family "Bacterial small subunit ribosomal RNA", at positions 524 to 776 of the family's 1533-position model. The record is from RNAcentral.